Molecule: ribosomal RNA, 468 nt
Filed under: uncultured bacterium
Lineage: Bacteria
Description: partial 16S ribosomal RNA
Rfam family: Bacterial small subunit ribosomal RNA
Source: RNAcentral
GACGAACGCUGGCGGCGUGCCUAACACAUGCAAGUCGAACGGAAAGGCCCUGCUUUUGUGGGGUGCUCGAGUGGCGAACGGGUGAGUAACACGUGAGUAACCUGCCCUUGACUUUGGGAUAACUUCAGGAAACUGGGGCUAAUACCGGAUAGGAGCUCCUGCUGCACGGUGGUGGUUGGAAAGUUUCGGCGGUUGGGGAUGGACUGGCGGCUUAUCAGCUUGUUGGUGGGGUAGUGGCUUACCAAGGCUGUGACGGGUAGCCGGCCUGAGAGGGUGACCGGCGACAAUGGGACUGAGAGACGGCCCAGACGGCUACGGGAGGCAGCAGUGGGGAAUAUUGCAGAGUGGGCGGAAGCGUGAGGCAGCAACGCCGCGUGCGGGAUGACGGCCUUCGGGUUGUAAACCGCUUUCGCCUGUGACGAAGCGGGAGUGACGGUAAUGGGUAAAGAAGCACCGGCUAACUACGUG